Molecule: unclassified non-coding RNA, 296 nt
Filed under: Secundilactobacillus paracollinoides
Lineage: Bacteria; Bacillati; Bacillota; Bacilli; Lactobacillales; Lactobacillaceae
Description: Lactobacillus paracollinoides partial miscellaneous RNA
Source: RNAcentral
AUUGUCGUAACAAGGUAGCCGUAGGAGAACCUGCGGCUGGAUCACCUCCUUUCUAAGGAAUAAUACGGAAGCCCUGCACUGAGACAAAACUUUGUUUAGUUUUGAGAGGUCUACUCUCAAACUGGUUCUUUGAAAACUAGAUAAUAUCAAUUUUCUUUUAUUAAUUAAUAAUUUCAUUAAUUAAGCCGAGAACACCGCGUUAUUUUGAGCUUUUUAUUAGUAGUUAAACUACUUCGCAUAUACUCAAUUAACUGAAAUCACGUUAGUGAUUUAGGUUAAGUUAACAAGGGCGCAUG